This 253-nucleotide ribosomal RNA is filed under the name uncultured bacterium. Its description in RNAcentral is "partial 16S ribosomal RNA". It matches the Rfam family "Bacterial small subunit ribosomal RNA", at positions 524 to 776 of the family's 1533-position model. The record is from RNAcentral.
AACGUAGGAGACGAACGUUAUCCGGAGUUACUGGGCGUAAAGGGCGUGUAGGCGGUUUGUUAAGUCUGGCGUGAAAGCUCUCGGCUAAACCGGGAGAGGUCGUUGGAUAAUGGCGAACUGGAGGAUGGUAGAGGCGUGUGGAAUUCCGGGUGUAGUGGUGAAAUGCGUAGAGAUCCGGAGGAACACCAGUGGCGAAGGCGACACGCUGGGCCAUACCUGACGCUAAAGCGCGACAGCAUGGGGAGCAAACGGG